AACUUCUCUCUCAAGGGUAGACGGGCCUGCUGGGAUGCUCCGGGAGGACUUGGGACAGGCGCUGGGCGGGGUUUCGUCGUUCCGCGGAACGCCGGGAAGGGGUCACUUCCAGAUGAAGGUUCCGGUUCCGGUGCGGUUGGAGGUUGCGUUGCCACGGCAGCGCGGUUGGCCGGCCGCUGGUUUUUGCGUUCCGGGUGGUGGUGGGGCUGGAGCAGGCUUGGAUCCGCCGUUCCCGGCUUAGGUGAGCUUCCCGGAGCUUCAGUAUGGCCGCGGCUGUUCGCGGCGAGAGCAGGGACUGCGCCGGGCUCUGGCGGCCAGGCCUGCCCGGGGCUACGGCGUCGGGGCCCGGGCCGUGUGUCGCAGCCCUCCUGUGGUCCCGCUGCCCCCGUGAGAGCAGAGGCCCAGACCCCUUCCCGUGGUUCCCGCCUCUGCAGCGCGAUUAUUUCACUAAAACAACUUUGAUUUUUAAAGUUUGUAAAGAGCUCUCGUCUGUGUGAUCGGGGCUUCGCUGACUUUCCAGCCGACCUAAGCCCCUGGGCUUGGGCCCAGGAGAGGUUGAAUGGGGAACUAAGAAAGGAAUUGGUUCAUUCGACAGACGUUUUCUGAGCAGCUGCUGCGUGCAAGGCACGGUGCCGGCGCGGGACCUGUGCCCAGAGCUUGAGAAAUGAGAAGCAGAGUCAUUGAUUCCAGGUAAAUCAGAGGAACAAACAUCAUACAGAAAUAUACAGGACAGUAACAUACAGGAAGCGAUGUGAUGUCGAAGCUUAACUGUUGUUUCAAAAGUCCAGCGUCUGGUGCACCUAACAGUAGGGGCUGUAUUAUUUGCAAAGUCACCUAACUUUUACUCAUGCUUAUGUUCUGAUAGAUUCCAUGAUUCAAACUGUUAUUACAUUUCCAGCGACUUCUGAGAAGGUGCCCAGACCACAGAAUUCAGAAAGCAAGGAGCCAGUACUGUUGUGUGUCACACUUGUUAGGAAGAUUUAUCUGUUGGCAGGAGUCUGUGUCUUCCUCUGAUAAUCACUGAGCUUGCGGCCAGACGAACACUGAGAAAAUUUUAUUUUUUCCUUUGAAUGAUGGCUAAGAUGUAUUGCCAAGGCCAUAAAUAUUCGUUAUGUCAGAA
Molecule: non-coding RNA, 1120 nt
Organism: Delphinapterus leucas (beluga whale)
Lineage: Eukaryota; Metazoa; Chordata; Mammalia; Artiodactyla; Monodontidae
Source: RefSeq, a predicted model, not a curated record